RNAcentral lists this ribosomal RNA (431 nucleotides) under uncultured bacterium. Its description in RNAcentral is "partial 16S ribosomal RNA". It matches the Rfam family "Bacterial small subunit ribosomal RNA", at positions 29 to 506 of the family's 1533-position model. The record is from RNAcentral.
GCGCACGCUGGCGGCAGGCCUAACACAUGCAAGUCGCACGAACUCUUCGGAGUUAGUGGCGGACGGGUGAGUAACACGUGGGAACGUGCCUUUUGGUUCGGAAUAACUCAGGGAAACUUGUGCUAAUACCGAAUGUGCCCUUCGGGGGAAAGAUUUAUCGCCAUUAGAGCGGCCCGCGUCUGAUUAGCUAGUUGGUGAGGUAACGGCUCACCAAGGCGACGAUCAGUAGCUGGUCUGAGAGGAUGACCAGCCACACUGGGACUGAGACACGGCCCAGACUCCUACGGGAGGCAGCAGUGGGGAAGCUUGCGCAAUGGGCGAAAGCCUGACGCAGCCAUGCCGCGUGAAUGAUGAAGGUCUUAGGAUUGUAAAAUUCUUUCACCGGGGACGAUAAUGACGGUACCCGGAGAAGAAGCCCCGGCUAACUUCGU